This 253-nucleotide ribosomal RNA is filed under the name uncultured bacterium. RNAcentral describes it as "partial 16S ribosomal RNA". It matches the Rfam family "Bacterial small subunit ribosomal RNA", at positions 524 to 776 of the family's 1533-position model. The record is from RNAcentral.
UACGUAGGGUGCAAGCGUUGUCCGGAAUUAUUGGGCGUAAAGAGCUCGUAGGCGGUUUGUUGCGUCGGCUGUGAAAUCCCGAGGCUCAACCUCGGGUCUGCAGUCGAUACGAGCAAACUAGAGUGUUGCAGGGGAGACUGGAAUUCCUGGUGUAGCGGUGAAAUGCGUAGAUAUCUGGAGGAACACCGGUGGCGAAGGCGGCAUCCUGGACCGAUACUGACACUGAGGAGCGAAAGCCAGGGGAGCAAACGGG